CCUUCGGGAGGCUGCAGUGAGGAAUAUUGGUCAAUGGGCGGAAGCCUGAACCAGCCAAGUAGCGUGCAGGAUGACGGCCCUACGGGUUGUAAACUGCUUUUAUACGGGAAUAACGCGCGUUACGUGUAGGGCUCUGCAUGUACCGUAUGAAUAAGGACCGGCUAAUUCCGUGCCAGCAGCCGCGGUAAUACGGAAGGUCCGGGCGUUAUCCGGAUUUCUUGGGUUUAAAGGGAGCGUAGGCCGCAUGUCAAGCGUGCUGUGAAAUGUCCGGGCUCAACCCGGGCCUUGCAGCGCAAACUGGCGUGCUUGAGUCCGCGACAGGCAGGCGGAAUUCGUCGUGUAGCGGUGAAAUGCUUAGAUAUCACGAAGAACCCCGAUUGCGAAGGCAGCUUGCUGCAGCGCGACUGACGCUGAUGCUCGAAAGCGCGGGUAUCGAACAGGAUUAGAUACCCUUGUAGUC
RNAcentral lists this ribosomal RNA (460 nucleotides) under uncultured bacterium. RNAcentral's name for it is "partial 16S ribosomal RNA". It matches the Rfam family "Bacterial small subunit ribosomal RNA", at positions 338 to 795 of the family's 1533-position model. The record is from RNAcentral.